This is a ribosomal RNA of Gasterosteus aculeatus aculeatus (three-spined stickleback), 122 nucleotides long. The record is from Ensembl. NCBI's taxonomy places the organism in Eukaryota, Metazoa, Chordata, Actinopteri, Perciformes, Gasterosteidae.
GCUUACGGGCCAUACCUCUCUGGGCUCCGCCUGAUCUCGUCUGAUCUCAGAAGCUAAGCAGAGUAGGGCCUGGUUAGUACUUGGAUGGGAAGACCGCCUGGGAAUCCCAGGUGCCGUAAGCU